UCAAGCAACUAAGCGCAUACGGUGGAUGCCUUGGCAGUCAGAGGCGAUGAAAGACGUGGAAGCCUGCGAUAAGGUUCGGGGAGCUGGCAAACAAGCUGUGAUCCGGGCAUUUCUGAAUGGGGAAACCCACCGACUUUCGGGUCGGUAUCUUACACUGAAUCCAUAGGUGUAAGAGGCGAACCGGGGGAACUGAAAC
RNAcentral lists this ribosomal RNA (196 nucleotides) under Chloropicon mariensis. RNAcentral describes it as "partial Bacterial large subunit ribosomal RNA". It matches the Rfam family "Bacterial large subunit ribosomal RNA", at positions 3 to 199 of the family's 2925-position model. Lineage: Eukaryota; Viridiplantae; Chlorophyta; Chloropicophyceae; Chloropicales; Chloropicaceae. The record is from RNAcentral.